CCGCACAAGCGGCGGAGCAUGCGGAUUAAUUCGAUGCAACGCGAAGAACCUUACCAAGGCUUGACAUACACCGGUAACGCCCAGAGAUGGGUGCCCCUUUGUGGUCGGUGGACAGGUGGUGCAUGGUUGUCGUCAGCUCGUGUCGUGAGAUGUUGGGUUAAGUCCCGCAACGAGCGCAACCCUCGUCCUAUGUUGCCAGCGGGUCGUGCCGGGGACUCAUGGGAGACUGCCGGGGUCAACUCGGAGGAAGGUGGGGAUGACGUCAAAUCAUCAUGCCCCUUAUGUCUUGGGCUUCACGCAUGCUACAAUGGCCGGUACAAAGGGCUGCGAUACCGCGAGGUGGAGCGAAUCCCAGAAAGCCGGUCUCAGUUCGGAUUGGGGUCUGCAACUCGACCCCAUGAAGUCGGAGUCGCUAGUAAUCGCAGAUCAGCAACGCUGCGGUGAAUACGUUCCCGGGCCUU
This 461-nucleotide ribosomal RNA is filed under the name uncultured Curtobacterium sp. RNAcentral describes it as "bacterial SSU rRNA". It matches the Rfam family "Bacterial small subunit ribosomal RNA", at positions 921 to 1382 of the family's 1533-position model. The record is from RNAcentral. Lineage: Bacteria; Bacillati; Actinomycetota; Actinomycetes; Micrococcales; Microbacteriaceae.